RNAcentral lists this ribosomal RNA (482 nucleotides) under uncultured bacterium. RNAcentral's name for it is "partial 16S ribosomal RNA". It matches the Rfam family "Bacterial small subunit ribosomal RNA", at positions 30 to 507 of the family's 1533-position model. The record is from RNAcentral.
AUUGAACGCUGGCGGCAUGCCUUACACAUGCAAGUCGAACGGUAACGGGCCUUCGGGUGCUGACGAGUGGCGAACGGGUGAGUAAUACAUCCGAACGUGCACGAUCGUGGGGGAUAACGAGGCGAAAGCUUUGCUAAUACCGCAUACGAUCUACGGAUGAGAGCAGGGGACCGCAAGGCCUUGCGCGGACGGAGCGGCCGAUGGCAGAUUAGGUAGUUGGUGGGAUAAAAGCUUACCAAGCCGACGAUCUGUAGCUGGUCUGAGAGGAUGAUCAGCCACACUGGGACUGAGACACGGCCCAGACUCCUACGGGAGGCAGCAGUGGGGAAUUUUGGACAAUGGGCGCAAGCCUGAUCCAGCCAUGCCGCGUGCAGGAUGAAGGCCUUCGGGUUGUAAACUGCUUUUGUACGGAACGAAAGGCAUUCUUUUAUUACAGGGGGGUCAUGACGGUACCGUAAGAAUAAGCACCGGCUAACUACGUG